CCUGGCUCAGGAUGAACGCUAGCGGCAGGCUUAACACAUGCAAGUCGAGGGGCAUCGGGAGUAGCAAUACUUGCCGGCGACCGGCGCAAGGGUGCGUAACGCGUGAGCAACAUGCCCGUAUCAGGGGGAUAAUCCAUGGAAACGUGGUCUAAUACCCCAUAGUAAUUAUGUAAGGCAUCUUAUAUAAUUUAAAGCUUUGGUGGAUACGGAUUGGCUCGCGUGACAUUAGCUAGAUGGUAAGGUAACGGCUUACCAUGGCUACGAUGUCUAGGGGUUCUGAGAGGAAGGUCCCCCCACACUGGAACUGAGACACGGUCCAGACUCCUACGGGAGGCAGCAGUGAGGAAUAUUGGACAAUGGAUGGAAAUCUGAUCCAGCCAUGCCGCGUGCAGGAAAGACGGCCCUAUGGGUUGUAAACUGCUUUUGUAUGGGAGCAAUAAGGGCUACGCGUAGUCCGAUGAGAGUACCAUACGAAUAAGCACCGGCUAACUCCGUGCCAGCAGCCGC
This 507-nucleotide ribosomal RNA is filed under the name uncultured bacterium. RNAcentral describes it as "bacterial SSU rRNA". It matches the Rfam family "Bacterial small subunit ribosomal RNA", at positions 18 to 518 of the family's 1533-position model. The record is from RNAcentral.